AGAAUGAACGCUGGCGGCGUGCUUUACACAUGCAAGUCGAGCGAGGCGGCCCGCAAGGGUCAGUCGAGCGGCGAACGGGUGAGUAACGCGUGGAUAACCUGCCCUGAGGUGUGGAACAACCAGGGGAAACUCUGGCUAAUACCGCAUGAUACCGAGAGGUCAAAGGGGGCUCGCAAGAGCUCUCGCCACAGGAGGGGUCCGCGUUCGAUUAGCUAGUUGGUAGGUAAUGGCCUACCGAAGGCGACGAUCGAUAGCCGGCCUGAGAGGGUGAUCGGCCACACUGGAACUGACGACACGGUCCAGACCUCCGUACGAGGAGGCAGCCAGGUGGGGUAAUUUGCGACAAGUGGGACUAACCGCUCGGACGCGAGACGAACGCCGCGUGGA
This 387-nucleotide ribosomal RNA is filed under the name uncultured soil bacterium. RNAcentral describes it as "bacterial SSU rRNA". It matches the Rfam family "Bacterial small subunit ribosomal RNA", at positions 26 to 405 of the family's 1533-position model. The record is from RNAcentral.